RNAcentral lists this long non-coding RNA (291 nucleotides) under Actinidia chinensis (golden kiwifruit). Its description in RNAcentral is "long non-coding RNA (ACHI_LNC001262)". Lineage: Eukaryota; Viridiplantae; Streptophyta; Magnoliopsida; Ericales; Actinidiaceae. The record is from RNAcentral.
AAGGAGAUUAUCGAAGGUUUGAGGUAGGGUACGAGAGAAUUGUGGACAGAGAAGAUCAGAGUGUACAUGAGAUUUUUCUUUUACGCUAGGUUGUAUUCCUUUAGCGGGGUGGAAGACUGGGGUUAGAAGUAUUGGAUUGGUUUGUAAUUAAUGAUGGUAAAUCUAGUGGGUUGGAGUGGCCUUUUGAGGAGAUGAAAAUUGAGGAGGUGUUUUUUCAUUGUGAAAGGGACAAGGGUCUGUGGCCAUAUGGUUGUACCAUGGCUGUCUUUGAAUAUUGUUGGGACAUUUUUA